Molecule: ribosomal RNA, 246 nt
Filed under: uncultured bacterium
Lineage: Bacteria
Description: partial small subunit ribosomal RNA
Rfam family: Bacterial small subunit ribosomal RNA
Source: RNAcentral
AGAAUCAACGCUGGCGGCGUGCCUAACACAUGCAAGUCGCACGAGAAAGGGGAGCAAUCCCUGAGUACAGUGGCGCACGGGUGAGUAACACGUGAAUAAUCUAUCUCCGAGGUGGGGAAUAACUGAGAGAAAUCUUAGCUAAUACCGCAUAACACUUACGAGUACAAAGCAGACAAUGCGCUUGGAGAGGAGUUCGCGGCCGAUUAGUUAGUUGGCGGGUAUGGCCCACCAAGACGAUGAUCGGUA